GUCGAGCGAACAGACGAGGUAGCUUGCUCCUCUGACGUUAGCGGCGGUNGGGUGAGUAACACGUGGAUAACCUACCUAUAAGACUGGGAUAACUUCGGGAAACCGGAGCUAAUACCGGAUAAUAUAUUGAACCGCAUGGUUCAAUAGUGAAAGACGGUUUUGCUGUCACUUAUAGAUGGAUCCGCGCCGCAUUAGCUAGUUGGUAAGGUAACGGCUUACCAAGGCAACGAUGCGUAGCCGACCUGAGAGGGUGAUCGGCCACACUGGAACUGAGACACGGUCCAGACUCCUACGGGAGGCAGCAGUAGGGAAUCUUCCGCAAUGGGCGAAAGCCUGACGGAGCAACGCCGCGUGAGUGAUGAAGGUCUUCGGAUCGUAAAACUCUGUUAUUAGGGAAGAACAAAUGUGUAAGUAACUAUGCACGUCUUGACGGUACCUAAUCAGAAAGCCACGGCUAACUACGUGCCAGCAGCCGCGGUAAUACGUAGGUGGCAAGCGUUAUCCGGAAUUAUUGGGCGUAAAGCGCGCGUAGGCGGUUUUUUAAGUCUGAUGUGAAAGCCCACGGCUCAACCGUGGAGGGUCAUUGGAAACUGGAAAACU
Molecule: ribosomal RNA, 600 nt
Filed under: bacterium Ca.S2
Lineage: Bacteria
Description: bacterial SSU rRNA
Rfam family: Bacterial small subunit ribosomal RNA
Source: RNAcentral